GAUCGCGGCGACGUGGGCGGUUCGCCUCCGAUGACGUCGCGAGAAGUCCACUGAACCUUAUCAUUUAGAGGAAGGAGAAGUCGUAACAAGGUUUCCGUAGGUGAACCUGCGGAAGGAUCAUUG
This 123-nucleotide ribosomal RNA is filed under the name Eugenia pisiformis. RNAcentral describes it as "partial 18S ribosomal RNA". It matches the Rfam family "Eukaryotic small subunit ribosomal RNA", at positions 1713 to 1831 of the family's 1831-position model. Lineage: Eukaryota; Viridiplantae; Streptophyta; Magnoliopsida; Myrtales; Myrtaceae. The record is from RNAcentral.